UGCGCUAAAGGAGCGGCCGAUGUCUGAUUAGCUAGUUGGUGGGGUAAAGGCCUACCAAGGCGACGAUCAGUAGUUGGUCUGAGAGGACGACCAACCACACUGGGACUGAGACACGGCCCAGACUCCUACGGGAGGCAGCAGUGGGGAAUUUUGGACAAUGGGCGAAAGCCUGAUCCAGCCAUGCCGCGUGAGUGAAGAAGGCCUUCGGGUUGUAAAGCUCUUUCAGUCGGAAAGAAACGAUUGUGACUAAUACUCACAAUUAAUGACGGUACCGACAGAAGAAGCACCGGCUAACUACGUGCCAGCAGCCGCGGUAAUACGUAGGGUGCGAGCGUUAAUCGGAAUUACUGGGCGUAAAGGGUGCGCAGGCGGUCUUGCAAGUCAGAUGUGAAAUCCCCGGGCUUAACCUGGGAAUUGCGUUUGAAACUACAAGGCUAGA
This 439-nucleotide ribosomal RNA is filed under the name uncultured ammonia-oxidizing bacterium. RNAcentral describes it as "bacterial SSU rRNA". It matches the Rfam family "Bacterial small subunit ribosomal RNA", at positions 214 to 645 of the family's 1533-position model. The record is from RNAcentral.